Molecule: non-coding RNA, 91 nt
Organism: Mycena rebaudengoi
Lineage: Eukaryota; Fungi; Basidiomycota; Agaricomycetes; Agaricales; Mycenaceae
Source: the annotation of a GenBank genome assembly
UCGGAUGUGGUGCACGGUGCACGUCAGCGUCAGCUAUUUGGGCACAAAUGGAACUGAGCUGAAGUUCGGGGUUCGACUCCCCGCAUCCGAG